AUGAUUUGACGAAAGAAAAUCUGUCUUAGCUUAUUAAAAAAAAUUAACCUAGAAGUUAAAAGGCUUCUAUUUCCUAAAGGGACGACAAGACCCUAUAAAGCUUUAUUUAUAAUAUUUUUAUUUACUUCAAUAAAAAAUAUAAAUUUAUAAAUUCUAUUGGGGCGAUAAAUAAAUAAACAUUAUUAACUAUAACGUUUUUAACGAAAUUUAUAAAAUAUUUUUAAAACCUACAACAAGUUACUUUAGGGAUAACAGCAUAAUUUCUUUUUAGAGUCCUUAUCGACAGAGAAGAUUAUGACCUCGAUGUUGGAUUAAG
RNAcentral lists this ribosomal RNA (316 nucleotides) under Tylos sp. clade H MM-2013. RNAcentral describes it as "partial 16S large subunit ribosomal RNA". The record is from RNAcentral. Lineage: Eukaryota; Metazoa; Arthropoda; Malacostraca; Isopoda; Tylidae.